ANNNNUNNCNNGUGCUAGGUAUGCAGUCGGACGAUCCCUUUGAAUUACUUGAGACUUCGGUUGAUUGUUUUUCUUUUUGGGAUAGUGGCAAACGGGUGAGUAACAUGUGGAUUAUCUGCCCUGAAGACGGGAAUAGCUCAUCGAAAGAUGGGGUAAUACUCGAUAGCCUUACAUUCUUUUAGUUUGUAAGUAAAGCUUUUGCGCUUCAGGAGGAGUCCGCAUCCUAUCAGCUUGUUGGUGAGGUAAUGGCUCACCAAGGCUAAGACGGGUAGCUGGCGUGAGAGCGCGGUCAGCCACCAUGGGAACUGAGACACGGUCCAUACUCCUACGGGAGGCAGCAAUUAGGAAUCUUGCGCAAUGGGGGCAACCCUGACGCAGCGACACAGUGUGGAGGAGGAAGGUCUUCGGAUUGUAAACUCCUUUUAUGAGGGAAGAAUAGAUGACGGUACCUCAUGAAUAAGCACCUGCUAACUACGUGCCAGAAGCAUCGGUGAUGCGUAGGGUGCGAACGUUAUCCGGAUUUAUUGGGCGUAUAGAGAAGCGUAGGUGUUUUUGUAAGUCUUUAGUUAAAUACCACGGCUCAACCGUGGGGAAGCUCCGGAAACUCCAGAAAUUGAGACAGGAAUGGGCGAAUGGAAUUCCCAGUGGAGCGGUGAAAUGCGUUGAUAUUGGGAGGAACAUCACUGGCGAAGGCGAUUCGCUGGUCCUUGUCUGACACUAAGGCUCGAAAGCGUGGGGAGCGAAACGGAUUACAUACCCCGUGUGGUCCACGCCGUAAAACAAUGGACGCUAGGUGUUCGGUACAACUACUUAAUCCUUCGGGAUUGAAUGGAAGUAUUGAGUACCUGCAGCUAACGCGUUAAGCGUCCCGCCUGGGAAGUACGGCCGCAAGGCUAAAACUCAAUGAAUUGGCGGGGACCCUUCAAGCCGAGGACCGCGUGGUUUAAUUCCACGCCAUCGAAAACCUUACAGGUUUGAAAUGUCUCUGCAUGCCUCUUGAACGGGGGGAGGCCUCUGAAGGUGUACA
Molecule: ribosomal RNA, 1027 nt
Filed under: uncultured anaerobic bacterium
Lineage: Bacteria
Description: bacterial SSU rRNA
Rfam family: Bacterial small subunit ribosomal RNA
Source: RNAcentral